UACGAAGGGGGCUAGCGUUGUUCGGAAUUACUGGGCGUAAAGCGCGCGCAGGCGGCUCUUCAAGUCAGGGGUGAAAGCCCAGAGCUCAACUCUGGAACUGCCUUUGAGACUGAAAAGCUUGAGUACGGGAGAGGUGAGUGGAAUUCCCAGUGUAGAGGUGAAAUUCGUAGAUAUUGGGAAGAACACCGGUGGCGAAGGCGGCUCACUGGCCCGUUACUGACGCUCAGGCGCGACAGCGUGGGGAUCAAACAGG
RNAcentral lists this ribosomal RNA (253 nucleotides) under uncultured bacterium. RNAcentral's name for it is "partial 16S ribosomal RNA". It matches the Rfam family "Bacterial small subunit ribosomal RNA", at positions 524 to 776 of the family's 1533-position model. The record is from RNAcentral.